RNAcentral lists this unclassified non-coding RNA (308 nucleotides) under Hevea brasiliensis (rubber tree). The record is from RNAcentral. Lineage: Eukaryota; Viridiplantae; Streptophyta; Magnoliopsida; Malpighiales; Euphorbiaceae.
GUUUAUUAACUUGUUCAUUAUGUCAUAUGCAGUAUGCGUGUCGCAUCUUCAAAAUUUAUAAUUAAAAGUAUGUAAAAUGGAAACUAUGUUAAUGAAAAUCUAGAAGUGUUAACAUUGAUUGGAAAAUUGUGGAUGCACCAUGCAAACAAGGAUAGAAUUGUCUUUAAUGUUAGAAUAUUGUGAAAAAGGUUGGGUGAAAUCACUAUCUGUGCAACUUUCUUUUGAUGUUGCUGUUUUAAGUGCAAUGACUACAUUGAGUGCAUAUCCAUACUAUCUCAGUGCUCAGAACUAAUUUAGCUGGUGGUGAC